RNAcentral lists this unclassified non-coding RNA (264 nucleotides) under Nectria pseudotrichia. Its description in RNAcentral is "partial contains 5.8S ribosomal RNA, internal transcribed spacer 2, and large subunit ribosomal RNA". Lineage: Eukaryota; Fungi; Ascomycota; Sordariomycetes; Hypocreales; Nectriaceae. The record is from RNAcentral.
CGCACAUUGCGCCCGCUAGUAUUCUAGCGGGCAUGCCUGUUCGAGCGUCAUUUCAACCCUCAAGCCCCCGCGGCUUGGUGUUGGGGAUCGGCCGCAAGCCUUCACGGGCAAGGCGGCCGGCCCCGAAAUCUAGUGGCGGUCUCGCUGUAGUCCCCCUCUGCGUAGUAACACACCUCGCACUGGAAGCUCGGCCUGACCACGCCGUAAAACCCCCCACUUCUGAAGGUUGACCUCGGAUCAGGUAGGAAUACCCGCUGAACUUAA